The submitters of this non-coding RNA (37 nucleotides) gave its source as unclassified sequences. The record is from Rfam.
GAGGAGGAACCCGAAAAUCCUUUAAAUAGAGUAGGGA